Molecule: long non-coding RNA, 559 nt
Filed under: Dromaius novaehollandiae (emu)
Lineage: Eukaryota; Metazoa; Chordata; Aves; Casuariiformes; Dromaiidae
Description: lncRNA (ENSDNVG00000009045.1)
Source: RNAcentral
UGCCUUGAGUUUUGUAGGCAGAAAAGUGAGACUUCAGUACCUGUUGGACAGCAGAAUGUACCUCCUGCCAGCAGCCCAUGAUGUACAGUAUCUUACCGGCCCAGCAUGGUGAUCCUCUUUUGUAGAGGAACCCAGUGCAGGCCUUCCUUUUGACUGAAAACUGACCACGCAAAACAAGCUGCCCAGGGUCUGCAAGUGCCUGCAUUACUCCCAUCUCUGGAAAAGACCAUGAACAUGAAGAUCCCCGUUGGAAUCGUUAAAAGGAUCCAGGUAUCACCAGCACAGGGGUGAAGGAAGCCAAAGGGGUUUUACCAGAGCCAGUAGAGCUGCACUGUUUAUAGCAGGUGCAGAUUCUGAAACUGCCACAGUAAAAUGCUCGACAACCAUGCCUGUUACUUCCUUCCCUCCCGCUCCUUCAGCUAAGCUGUGCUUGAAGACAAAUUCAGUGGUUUCUUUGGAGAACUGCCUUCUUUUAAGAUGUCUGCCACCUUCUUCUGCUCAGAGACACUUUGGAUCUCCCCUUAUUUAACAUAAUAGGAGGCAGGAGGCAUUUUUGAAA